UCGAAAAUCUGUCAAUAGUUUAGUGUCAAUUUUUUAAAAGUAAUACUGACGUGUUACACCAAAUUAAAUUAAAAUAUACAAGAAACAUAUAAUAUAAAAGCAUCAUGAAAGUGGAAGAGGCUUUUUUUUGAGAAACUAUAUCUUAAAUGACGGAAAACACUAUAUCCUUACAAUGUUUUUGGACAACGACGAACAUAUAGCAAAAUAGUAUUCUUUUAAUUAAUGAAGACCUAUUAAGUGUGAAAACCUGAAAACUCUGAUAAGAGUUUAUCUUGUAAAGAGCUGUGAACCAACACAAUCACCGUAAUGAUUAAUGAUAUCUAUAUGAAGCUCAUAGUCAGUAGAAAUUUCGGACAAACUAAAUUCAAGCCUCAACAUUCUCCAACUUAUUAUUGAAAUAAAUACACACAUAUUAUUAUUUAUAUUUUAAUGGCUGGAAGAUGAAGUUUUUGAAUAGUUUCCAUGGAAUCUCUCAAAGUUUGAAACAGUAGAAGACACAACUUUUUAGCAAAAGGGAAAAAGAUGCAUCAUCAAAUUUCCUACAAAGUUGAUGGCCUGAUGCGUAAGCAAAUUUUAUGUGAGGUUAUUGAAUGAGGAGUCUGAACUGCUGCAUUUUUCCCGGUCAAUUUAAGAGUUCAAAAGGUUUGGAUUACUUCAAACCAUUGUUAAAGAUUUCAAGAGACUUCUAAAUAUUUAAUUUUUUUGAAGAUUCCUAAUUUGGAACCUGAAAUUUUGGAAAAGAUUUAUAUUUUGAAUUUAAAUAGGGAUUAAAAAAAGUAAAAUCCUUUAUUCCACACAAGAAUUAAAAUUAUUUUCCAAAAUUGCCCAUCCAUGUCCACAAUUUUCUGUUCCAAGUUGUACCCUGUCUCAAGUCAAAGUUAUAUUUAUUUACAAUAUUUUCUGUUAUAAUUCAGAAAUAUGUUAACUCCUUUUUUCUAAUAUUUGGAAAUGGGUUUCAAGUUCUGAUUUGGAACAAGGGAUUUUCAAAAUCUGAUGAAUUUUGACUUGGAUAUGGGAUUAUUUUUGUAAAUUCCCUUUUUAUGAAUCAAAAGAUUUUCCUUUGCAUGUCAAAAAUUACAUGCUUCAAGGCAUAAUUAUAAUUAAUUAUGAAAUUCUCAGUUCCAAAGUAAAAAUAAUAAUAAAUAUUAUUCUGACAUUCUUCGUGAAAUUUACUGUUUUAAAGUGAACCUAAAAUGAAAAUAAUCAUUGUUUACAAAAUUUCCAGUUCAAAAGUCAAAAUUAUAAUUCCAUACCUCAAUUGUAAAAAUUAUAUUUAUUUACCGAAAUUUCCUGUAUCUAUCUCAAAAUUAUCACUCUUCGAGAAGAUCCCAUGCUCCCAACUAAAAAUUACAUUUUUGUAUUGAAAUUCUUUGUCGGAACUUAGAAUUAUAAUUCUUUUUUAAAAUUCCCUGUUCUAAGUCGGGAUAAUUGUAAUUCUUUACAUGUAUUUUUUAAAUAUUUCUUUUCCGUAUUCUCGGUCUCGAAGUCGAAAUUAUCUUUUUUUUUCUUUUUGGCAAACUCACUAUCCUAAGUUAGAAAAAGGAUUUUUCACCAAUUCCCUGUAUCUACUCAGAAUUAUAGUAAUCAAAUAUAUGAAACUACUUUUAAUUUGCAUGUUAGUUUUUAGAGAGAAAACCCACAGUCACUGAAUCAAAUUCCUUGUCAUUUCACGGGUUUUCCUCGGUGAUUUGAACAGAUUUGACAAAUUAAUUGAUAUGAAAACUCUGCGGAUAUAAGGCAGGCAUAAUUAUUUAUUUGAUGUAUUUAGUUCAUUUUAUUUUUCUAUUAUCGUUAAGAUCCGGUUUGUAUAACUUUUUUCUAUUU
This is a long non-coding RNA of Belonocnema kinseyi, 1824 nucleotides long. RefSeq lists it as uncharacterized. Lineage: Eukaryota; Metazoa; Arthropoda; Insecta; Hymenoptera; Cynipidae. The transcript has 3 exons. The record is from RefSeq and is a predicted model, not a curated record.